Molecule: long non-coding RNA, 895 nt
Organism: Girardinichthys multiradiatus
Lineage: Eukaryota; Metazoa; Chordata; Actinopteri; Cyprinodontiformes; Goodeidae
Exons: 2
Source: RefSeq, a predicted model, not a curated record
AUGUAUUUUGUUUUGUAUUUUAUGUAAGAGACCAAAAAAGUGGUCCAAAGUUGGUGGUUGUAUCAGGACAUGAUGUGAAAAAGUUCCAGCGAUAUGAACACCUUUGCAAGGACCUGUAAGAGUUGAGAUUAAUUCAAGCACACUACAGCUGCAGAUAAAGGUUUCUACUUGUAUUUACACCUUUAAUGCAAUAACUGACAGAGAAAAAAACUAACCAGAUUCCUCUGUGUAUCGUUUAGGUUGUAACAGAGCCAGAGUUGUGAGCCAGGGGUGUGUGUGACACAAAAACCUGGGAGGCAGCCAUCGAAGUUACGUUUUCCAAAACCAGCUGGUCCACCUCUGCCUCUCUGAGCUGAGUCAAAUCCCCUAUCAGCAGGACACAUGACAAGCGGUCCCUGUCCGCCUGCCAGUGAAGGGUUGAUCUCACAAAAGCAAAGGUCCGUCUGCCUCAGAGGACCUCUGACAGGUCAUCUAAUGCCUUUGUAACUUUUUGGAGCAUUUAUAAGCAGCCAUGCUGGCCUGAACAGAAACCCAGCAUCAUCAUGUUAAAGCGUUGGAUGACGGCAGGGUCAGAUGAGGCUGCUGGGAAACGGAGCACACUGGUUUUUGCAGAAUAAGCUGGAACCUUUGGGCUAGUGAGGGCAAAUGUUGGCCCACUGCCACAUUUUGGGUGUGGUCUUCCCUUCCCGAAAAAAGUCCUGUCACACACUGUCCCCACAGCCAAGGUCAUCUGUGUCACUUAGACUCAUAGUAUGGUUUCCUGUCUGUCUUAGUCACUUGCCCUGUUUUUUUUAAUACUAUUUUCUGUGCACUUCACCUCAUCUGUGUCUAAAUCAUGGAAAUAUCUUGUCAUGCUCAGUUUCUGUAGCAAAUAAAUCAAAAUUUUGAUCUCUUU